UACGUAGGGAGCAAGCGUUGUCCGGAAUCAUUGGGCGUAAAGCGCGCGUAGGCGGCCCCGUAAGUCCGCUGUGAAAGUCAAAGGCUCAACCUUUGAAAGCCGGUGGAUACUGUGGGGCUAGAGUCCGGAAGAGGCGAGUGGAAUUCCUGGUGUAGCGGUGGAAUGCGCAGAUAUCAGGAAGAACACCCGUGGCGAAGGCGGCUCUCUGGGACGGUACUGACGCUGAGACGCGAAAGCGUGGGGAGCGAACAGG
RNAcentral lists this ribosomal RNA (253 nucleotides) under uncultured bacterium. RNAcentral describes it as "partial 16S ribosomal RNA". It matches the Rfam family "Bacterial small subunit ribosomal RNA", at positions 524 to 776 of the family's 1533-position model. The record is from RNAcentral.